CAAGUAACCGACUCUACCUGGUCUAAGAACCAAUAAGUAAUGUGCCCUCGGCACAAUCUGACGCCAAAACGGCGAAUCGGGCACACCGUCAACCCCAACGGCGCCCAAAAAUUCGAAACAGGCCAAACUACCCAUGUAAAAAUCCACUCGGCGUACCAACACGAGCGUAAAUGUAUUCUAAACUACUUGGAGUACUCGUCUCGAGGAUACAGCGACAGUACAAUUUUAUAACGGCUCCUAGAGCUAAAUCAGGCAGUUUAACAAGUGGCAGAUCCAAAUCGCAGAUUUUCUCCUAAUUCAAAUUUCAAGUCCAACAUGUAUAAACUACUCAAUUUAUUACCACAUGCUCCAAACUCAGAUUUGCAAUCUACCAAAUAAUCCAUG
RNAcentral lists this long non-coding RNA (384 nucleotides) under Ananas comosus (pineapple). Its description in RNAcentral is "long non-coding RNA (ACOM_LNC037960)". The record is from RNAcentral. Lineage: Eukaryota; Viridiplantae; Streptophyta; Magnoliopsida; Poales; Bromeliaceae.